Long non-coding RNA from Conger conger (European conger), 994 nucleotides. RefSeq lists it as uncharacterized. The transcript has 3 exons. The record is from RefSeq and is a predicted model, not a curated record. NCBI's taxonomy places the organism in Eukaryota, Metazoa, Chordata, Actinopteri, Anguilliformes, Congridae.
CUCAGCCAGUCUCCCCUUACGCCAUUUUGUUUUUACUGUGAUUAUUUUCCAUUUCAGGCAAGAUGCGGAGAGUGGAGGGUGGAUCACAAGCAGCAAGGACAGGGAGACUGGUGAGAAUUGAGGAAAUGGUGAAUGCAGCCAAGUACAGAGAGGUCCUUCAAGAAAACGCGAUCUCAGACUGGGGCGACUGUUCACCUUUCAGCACGGCAAUGAGCUGGAGUGACUCUCCUUGAGUUGUCCAGCCAAAGCCCAGACUCAUAGACCAAUUGUGGAGAGACCUGCAGAUGGCAGUUCACCGAUGCUUCUAAUCAAAUCUGACAGAGCUUGAGAGGAUCUGCCAGGAAGAAUGGGAUGAACUACCCAAAUCCAGGUGCUCUUUAGGAUUGAGGUGCUGUGGAGCAGACUAUGGAGGUCAUUGGAGUACACUGAAUUCAUUGUUAUGUUCCUGAACCAGCUUGAACGUGUUAUCCUGCAGGAAGUAGCUAUCGGAAGGUGGGUAGACUGUGGCGAUAAAGAGAUGCACAUGGUCGCCAACAAUACUAGGCUGUGGCAUUUAAACAACACUUAAUUUAGUAUUAAGGGGCAUAAUGUUUCCAACAAAACAUUCCCCACACAACAAUUACACCACCAGCCUGAACUGUUGACACAAAGCAAGAUGGAUCCAUGUUGUUUAUGACCCUUCCAUCUGCAUGUUACAGCAGAAAUCGAGAUUUCAGACCAGGUUAAGUUUUUACAAUCUUCAACUGUCCAGUUUUGGUGACCCAGCUGUGGCUUUGGCUUCCUGUUUUUUGCUAACAGGAGUGGAACUCGGUGUGGUCUUCUGCUGCUGUUGCACAUCCUUCAGAUUUGACAUGUUGUGGGUUCAGAGAUGCUUUUCUACAUACCACUGUUGUAACGCAUGGUUAUUUGAGUUGCUGUCACCUUCCUGUCAGCUUUGACCAGUCUGGCCAUUCUCCUCUGACCUCUCAUUAAAAAGGUGUUUCCGCCUACAGAA